GCCAGACACAGGGAAGAAAAGACACAGUCAGUCUGCCUGAGGUCUGUGCAGACACACCCUUGCCUGCAAUUUGGCUAUUGGGGGAGGCCUCAGCCACAGGCUGCUGGAGGAGAGAAAAGCAGAUUCCAGCGGCUAGCUGAACUUGUCUAGCCUGGAGUCCUCUAGGAAUGGGAAGAAACAGCCAACGGAGACUGUCCCAGAAAGCUCGGGAGUUCUGUUGCUAUCCAAACGACUCCUUCAUUCUUUGAAGGUGAAGCUUCCACAUCAAGCAGACUGGUAUCCUCGGGAAGACUGGAAUUCCAAGCCAUCGGCAAGUGUCCGAUCAGUUGCCAGCUUUGGUUGGACCUUGGGUCUCCCAUCAGCUCACUUUCUGGCUUGCCAAACAGAUGUAAAGAUCCUCCAAGGCUCCAUCUUCAAUCUGACCCUGUUCUCUGUUACCACCCCAUGGGAGAGAAUAGAAAGGAUGGUCAAAGGGAAGCUGAGGGACUAUUGUUCUAAAAUCAUCAACAAGAGUAGACCACAAGACUGAAAGACAGACUGGGGAUGAGCCACGGUGGGGAUAAGUAAUGGAAGCUCCUUCCAUCCAGAUUUCAGCCCUAAGGUAUGAUGAAAUAGACAUGUGCUGGGAGAUGGCCAGGCAUUGCGUCCUGGGUCCUUCAUGCCCAGGUCUGAUGAGGUCUUUGUGCAGACAUUGAGGGUACUGACUGACACGUCUCCUGAAUAGGGCAUUGCCGUGGGCAUGCCACAGAGCCUUUUAUACCACAUCGUUGAUGAUUGAGUUCAUAUCUGUCAACUACAUCCUUGGGGGCAUCGUCCCUGGAGAGAGCUCUGGCCAUCUGUGCCUUGGAGGGAGCUAUGGGACCCAGAGGAUGACAGAAGAAGGAGACAUGGUGGAGCGGUGAGUUCCUUGCCCAAACUGGGAUCUUGGGACUACAGGACAAUGAGCUGGUAGGUGGAGAACGUUGGUGGGAGAACAACAGGGAUGCUUUGGGAUCAAGUCAUCUGGACCAAGCGGGAGUCAGAGCUGAGGACCAGCCAAGGACAGAGCCAUGGUACAGAGGAGCAAACCCAGACCUCACCGAUCACUGAUCCACAUGUGGUAUGAAUUGGAGGCCCUUCCUCAUCCUGCCUGCCCUCCUGGAGGAAUUUCCAUCUGAUCGAUGUCCUUCUUGAUCUGUGGUGCUGGGACCUUGCUAUAAUCCUCCAGAUGGCUUUGCCAGGCCUGAGGACAGCAGGGUUACCACCUCUGUAGCCAGGACAUCGAGGCUCUCUCUCUCUCUCUCUCUCUCUCUCUCUCUCUCUCUCUCUCUCUCUCUCUCUCUCUCUCUCUCUCUGUCUCGGUGCAGAUCAAGAACAUGUUAGCCCCUGAAAGCAUUUCCUGGACUGUAUUCCAAGGCUAAACAAUUGUAGUAUUUGUACAUCCCUGCCAUUAAAUGCCUAUCACAAGAUAAUUGUGUUGGAUUUGGGCCUUUUCUGGCAAAAGCUUGACUUGUAGCAUGCCUGGAAGAAGGAUGGUUGCACACACUUAGGCACAGUGGGUAGUUAGCUAGCUUAUAUAGUAUGAGCUGAGAACCCUGUCUGUCCCCAAUUCUCAUCUAGCAGCUUGUUUCAGGAACACUCUCCCUUCUUACUUGAUCUAAAAGUACCCUCAGCAUCCCUCUUUUGGGUUAGGCAAUACAAAUGAGGGCAUUGU
Phascolarctos cinereus (koala) is the source of this 1693-nucleotide non-coding RNA. Lineage: Eukaryota; Metazoa; Chordata; Mammalia; Diprotodontia; Phascolarctidae. The record is from RefSeq and is a predicted model, not a curated record.